AGGCGGCGUGCUAAUACAUGCAGUCGAACGCACAGCGAAAGGUGCUUGCACCUUUCAAGUGAGUGGCGAACGGGUGAGUAACACGUGGACAACCUGCCUCAAGGCUGGGGAUAACAUUUGGAAACAGAUGCUAAUACCGAAUAAAACUUAGUGUCGCAUGACACAAAGUUAAAAGGCGCUUCGGCGUCACCUAGAGAUGGAUCCGCGGUGCAUUAGUUAGUUGGUGGGGUAAAGGCCUACCAAGACAAUGAUGCAUAGCCGAGUUGAGAGACUGAUCGGCCACAUUGGGACUGAGACACGGCCCAAACUCCUACGGGAGGCUGCAGUAGGGAAUCUUCCACAAUGGGCGAAAGCCUGAUGGAGCAACGCCGCGUGUGUGAUGAAGGCUUUCGGGUCGUAAAGCACUGUUGUAUGGGAAGAACAGCUAGAAUAGGAAAUGAUUUUAGUUUGACGGUACCAUACCAGAAAGGGACGGCUAAAUACGUGCCAGCAGCCGCGGUAAUACGUAUGUCCCGAGCGUUAUCCGGAUUUAUUGGGCGUAAAGCGAGCGCAGACGGUUUAUUAAGUCUGAUGUGAAAGCCCGGAGCUCAACUCCGGAAUGGCAUUGGAAACUGGUUAACUUGAGUGCAGUAGAGGUAAGUGGAACUCCAUGUGUAGCGGUGGAAUGCGUAGAUAUAUGGAAGAACACCAGUGGCGAAGGCGGCUUACUGGACUGCAACUGACGUUGAGGCUCGAAAGUGUGGGUAGCAAACAGGAUUAGAUACCCUGGUAGUCCACACCGUAAAACGAUGAACACUAGGUGUUAGGAGGUUUCCGCCUCUUAGUGCCGAAGCUAACGCAUUAAGUGUUCCGCCUGGGGAGUACGACCGCAAGGUUUGAAACUCAAAGGAAUUGACGGGGAACCCGCACAAGCGGUGGAGCAUGUGGUUUAAUUCGAAGCAACGCGAAAAACCUUACCAGGUCUUGACAUCCU
This 973-nucleotide ribosomal RNA is filed under the name Leuconostoc mesenteroides. RNAcentral's name for it is "bacterial SSU rRNA". It matches the Rfam family "Bacterial small subunit ribosomal RNA", at positions 37 to 990 of the family's 1533-position model. Lineage: Bacteria; Bacillati; Bacillota; Bacilli; Lactobacillales; Lactobacillaceae. The record is from RNAcentral.